Raphanus sativus (radish) is the source of this 973-nucleotide long non-coding RNA. RefSeq lists it as uncharacterized. The record is from RefSeq and is a predicted model, not a curated record. The transcript has 3 exons. NCBI's taxonomy places the organism in Eukaryota, Viridiplantae, Streptophyta, Magnoliopsida, Brassicales, Brassicaceae.
UUAAAAAGAACAACCUUUAAAGAGUAGAAUUAUUACCAUGUUGCCAUUUUGCAUAGGUGUCUUCCUCACAAUACACCUCAGCCUUCCUAUGCAUUAAUCCUUAAAUUACUAGAUUAUUUACAUCAAUUGCCAUUGGUAUGUCACAAAUUUACAGCAUGAUUUUUCAUUACAUUUUGACUAUAAUUACUGAUUUUUGUUCUUGAUGACCUAAUCUAUGGAACGUAGUGGUAACUGAAACCAAAUUAAUGAUUGAUAGCUAACUAUUUCUAUAAUUACGACCAUGAUUUAUUCAAAAUGUAAAUGUUAAUGUGUCUCGCUCUCUCUCUAAAAUGUUAACGUUUUUGGUUUAAAUUUUUACAAUACGAAAAUGCAAUUAAUAUUCCACCAUCUAGAAGUCUUUUGGUUCUGGUCCACAAUUUGUAUUCUAUAAUAAAAAAUAAAAAAUCAAUAUUAAAAUGUUAGAUUAGUGGUUUACAUCUUAAUUUAAUUUACCGGUUUUCUCAAGUGAGAGUAAUGUAUAUUAGUAUUUUCGGGAUUUUAGAAGAUCAUAAUUUUAUUGAAUUAAACAUUCAGGAAGCAUAUUAUUGGAUUACACCACACAAAUACUUAAACAUGUAACUGUUCAUUUUAUUGAAUUAAACAUUCAGGAAGCGCAGGUCUUAUCCUAGCAGUAUUGGCAAAUUAAUUGGAGAGAUGGUCGCUUCAAGAAGCUUACUAACAUUGAUGGAUUUUCAAAAGUUGUUUUUGAACCAAACGGUGUUCCAGAAAUCGAUGCUUUCAAGAAGAGGAUUGCAGACAAUGGAGUUUAAUUUCUAUAAGUGGCGAUUUUUUUUUUUUAAUGUUUUUCUUAUUUUUUUGCGCUCCUUUUCUGUUUUAUUAUUAAUAGUACUUUAAUGUCUUAUUUAUGUUUUUAAAAAUAUUAUUCAGCAUUUAUUUUAUGUCAACAAUUAUGUCUUAUAAGUUUCAAGUGAAU